ACGGAAGGCAGCAGUGAGGAAUAUUGGUCAAUGGGCGGAAGCCUGAACCAGCCAAGUCGCGUGAAGGAUGAAGGUAUUAUGUAUUGUAAACUUCUUUAGUCGCAGGGAAAUAAGGCGGACGUGUCCGCUGAUGCUAGUAUGCGAAGAAUAAGGAUCGGCUAACUCCGUGCCAGCAGCCGCGGUAAUACGGAGGAUGCGAGCGUUAUCCGGAUUUAUUGGGUUUAAAGGGUGCGUAGGCGGGAUGUUAAGUCAGCGGUUAAAUAGUGUAGCUCAACUAUACUUUGCCGUUGAAACUGGCGUUCUUGAGUGUAAACGAGGUAGGCGGAAUGUGACGUGUAGCGGUGAAAUGCUUAGAUAUGUCACAGAACCCCGAUUGCGAAGGCAGCUUACCAGGAUACAACUGACGCUGAGGCACGAAAGCGUGGGUAUCAAACAGGAUUAGAUACCCUGGUA
RNAcentral lists this ribosomal RNA (453 nucleotides) under uncultured Porphyromonadaceae bacterium. RNAcentral's name for it is "partial 16S ribosomal RNA". It matches the Rfam family "Bacterial small subunit ribosomal RNA", at positions 341 to 792 of the family's 1533-position model. The record is from RNAcentral. Lineage: Bacteria; Pseudomonadati; Bacteroidota; Bacteroidia; Bacteroidales; Porphyromonadaceae.